UGUGUAGAAAUGAACUCUCAUCAGAGUUUCAAAGGAAUUAAUGUUUUUUGGUAAAAUGUGCUAAUGUAAAGAGUUAGAAGAUUAGUGAUACAUAAUGAAAGCAAUGCAUUCUUUCGCAUGGAAAUGGGAAUAUAUAAAUGUCCUGCAGGUGAUUGGCGUUGUAGCAAUUUUAUUGAAGAUUAAAGUUUGAUUGACCUUUGUUAGGGUGAUUAACCCUUCUGAAAUUAAAAGCCAGAGCUGAAUUAUCCUGCUCAAUUUAAAUGCAAA
Cercocebus atys (sooty mangabey) is the source of this 267-nucleotide unclassified non-coding RNA. The record is from Ensembl. NCBI's taxonomy places the organism in Eukaryota, Metazoa, Chordata, Mammalia, Primates, Cercopithecidae.